UUUAUUUCAGCUUAAAGAACUGAAAGAAAGACAGAAACAGCAACUGAGGCACAAGGCCCUUAAAAAGGGUCUAGACCCUGAAGCCCUCACAGGCAAAUACCCACCUAAAAUCCAAGUAGCCUCCAAAUACGAAAGGCGUGUGGACACUAGGUCGUACACUGACAAGAAG
Sitophilus oryzae (rice weevil) is the source of this 169-nucleotide long non-coding RNA. RefSeq lists it as uncharacterized. NCBI's taxonomy places the organism in Eukaryota, Metazoa, Arthropoda, Insecta, Coleoptera, Curculionidae. The transcript is spliced from 2 exons. The record is from RefSeq and is a predicted model, not a curated record.